Molecule: ribosomal RNA, 320 nt
Filed under: uncultured Prevotella sp.
Lineage: Bacteria; Pseudomonadati; Bacteroidota; Bacteroidia; Bacteroidales; Prevotellaceae
Description: bacterial SSU rRNA
Rfam family: Bacterial small subunit ribosomal RNA
Source: RNAcentral
GAUGAACGCUAGCUACAGGCUUAACACAUGCAAGUCGAGGGGCAGCAUGCAGGUAGCUUGCUAUCUGUGAUGGCGACCGGCGCACGGGUGAGUAACGCGUAUCCAACCUUCCCCAUAGUAGGGCAUAGCCCGUAGAAAUGCGGAUUAAUACCCUAUGUUUUCCUUUGCAGGCAUCUAACGAGGAAUAAAGGUUCACCGCUAUGGGAUGGGGAUGCGUCUGAUUAGGUUGCAGGCGGGGUAACGGCCCACCUGGCCUACGAUCAGUAGGGGUUCUGAGAGGAAGGUCCCCCACACUGGUACUGAGACACGGACCAGACUCC